AUGAACAAUGCUCUACUUGCCCCUUAUACCACGGAAGAUGUUCGCAAUGCUUUUUUCUAUAUUGGGGACUUAAAAGCACCGGAGCCAGAUGGUCUCCAUGCUAUUUUUUACAAAAGGUUCUGGCCCAUGCUGGGAGAGGAACUAAUUGAGGAGGUUCUGAAAGCAAUCAACACAUGUACUAUCCCAAACGGUUGGAAUGAUAUGGUGAUUGUGAUGAUUCCUAAGAUUAAUACACCAAAAAAGGUAACACAAUUUAGACCAAUCAGCUUAUGUAAUGUGGUAUACAAAAUAAUUGCAAAAAUGGUGGCUACUCGAUUGAAGGCUUUUUUGCCAGAAAUUAUCAGCCCAACACAGAGUGCAUUUGUUCCGGGAAGAUUGAUAAGGGAUAAUAUUUUAAUGGCCUAUGAAUGUUUUCACACCAUCAAGAAUAGAAGAGAAGGCAGAGAGGGCUUGUGUGCUAUAAAACUUGACAUGCACAAAGCAUACGAUAGAGUCGAGUGGCCUUUUUUGAAAGAGAUUAUGUUGAGAUUGGGGUUUCGUCGAGAAUGGGUGAAUUUGAUUAUGCAACGUGUCUUAACUGUCGAGUACAGAGUAAUGAUCAAUGCGGAGGAAAGUGAGAGCUUCAAGCCUACGAGAGGGUUGAGGCAGGGUGAUCCAUUAUCACCAUACAUCUUCCUGCUGUGCACAGAGGGGCUGAAUGCAUUGCUGACGCAUGUUGAGGAAAAUGGAAACAUAUCAGGAGUUAAAGUCUGUAGAGACACUCCACCAGUCACAAAUCUUCUAUUUGUGGAUGAUUCAUUGAUCUUAAUGAAAGCCAACCAAAAUAAUGCGGCGGCCCUUAAAUCAGCAUUAGACUUAUAUUGUGCGGCGCUGGGACAGCUCGUAAGCGUGGAAAAGUCAAGUAUUUUCUUUAGCCCUAAUACAACGAUAGAGAUCAGAGAGUAAAUGUGUGCAACACUGAAUAUAAUGACGGAGGCAAUGAAUGAUAAAUAGUUGGGCUUGCCAGCAAAUGUGGGUGUUGAUAAAACAGACUGCUUUAAGUUUCUGAUUGAACGAACUGUUAAGAAAAUUAGUGGUUGGAAAGAAAAAUUACUAUCCGUCAAGGGAAAGGAGAUCCUGCUCAAGGCUGUGAUCCAAUUCAUACCUACCUAUGCAAUAUCGGUCUUUAAAAUUCCUAAAAAAAUUAUAAAAGAAUCAUCGAUGCGAUUGCACAUUUCUGGUGGGGAGACGAGGAGAACCAGAGGUGAUGUGCGUACCAAAGAACCAAGGAGGAAUGAGAUUCCGUGA
Molecule: ribosomal RNA, 1287 nt
Filed under: Triticum aestivum (bread wheat)
Lineage: Eukaryota; Viridiplantae; Streptophyta; Magnoliopsida; Poales; Poaceae
Description: partial small subunit ribosomal RNA
Source: RNAcentral